GAAUUGCCUAAUACUAUUUAGUAACGGGAGAACCAUUUGUUGGGGUGAAUCCGCCCUUUGCGGUAGGGGACCUUUCUUCCCGAACCCGUCAGCUAAUCUCGUCGGCAGAGAAGGG
Molecule: small RNA, 115 nt
Filed under: human gut metagenome
Description: ydaO/yuaA leader
Rfam family: c-di-AMP riboswitch aptamer (ydaO/yuaA leader)
About the family: This family represents a conserved RNA structure found upstream of the ydaO and yuaA genes in Bacillus subtilis and related genes in other bacteria. The ydaO/yuaA element is thought to act as a genetic "off" switch for the ydaO and yuaA genes in its native state.
Source: RNAcentral